Molecule: long non-coding RNA, 281 nt
Filed under: Lathyrus oleraceus (garden pea)
Lineage: Eukaryota; Viridiplantae; Streptophyta; Magnoliopsida; Fabales; Fabaceae
Description: Pisum sativum (pea) long non-coding RNA (PSAT_LNC010617)
Source: RNAcentral
UCGACCUUCCGAUGAUGAUAUUCACCGGCAUGUCUGCUGAUUUUUGAUCCCCAAACAGAGGUUAACCUAAAAUUUAUCGUUUAGAACUUUUCCUUUGCAGAGCUUUCCCCAUUAAUUUUUCUACAGAGAGAAUCCUUUUUUAUGUUUCCUCAACCCCCUAGUUGAUAUAUUUUUGACCCCCGAGUCAAUGUUUUAUCUUUAUUUUCUCGACCCCCGAGUCAAUGUUGUCUCUAUUUUCUCGAUCCCUGAAUCGAUGUUGUUUUAAUAUGUUCUCGACCCCC